This 779-nucleotide long non-coding RNA is filed under the name Nicotiana tabacum (common tobacco). Its description in RNAcentral is "long non-coding RNA (NTAB_LNC011560)". Lineage: Eukaryota; Viridiplantae; Streptophyta; Magnoliopsida; Solanales; Solanaceae. The record is from RNAcentral.
AUGGAUGCACCUUCUCAAACUGCAUUCAUGCUCUAUUAAUUUAAAAGUCAUACAAAAUCAGGAGAACUAGGAACUUCCGCUGACUAAACUUAGAGAAAGGUGAGUAAACACCAAAGCGAGUUUUGAAUUUGGGACCCGUACAUUUCAUCAUUAAUUACCCUUAUGGUGCUCAGACUUAGUAGUUGUAUUUUAUAUUAUCCAAGAGGAUCAGUUAUACUUACAUUUUGACAGGUGCACCCGUCGUUUCCAUGCUUACAUAAAUUUGAAGAUCUUGUGCUUCUGGACUUCUUACUCCUGUUAAUCAGAAAUAAUUUUGGAUGAGAAUGAGCAUACCGAAAUUACGAAAAGCGUGAUUCUACAAUCAGAAAGCUAGGGCAAUGUGUUGUAAACUAAGGUAUCAUCUCCAUUUCAGUUUUCAGUUCCUUUUGAAAAUUGGACUUAUGAAAUUGCUAAAGACUAAUUAAACUUGGUAAUAAUCAUCCAAUCCAUUCCAAUAGGUCUUUGUUGUCUAUGUGUUAUGAGGAUUUUCGUUAUUAAAAUUGCUAAAUGUAAUAUGCAGUUUAAAUUCAUGCUGCUGGGCUUAUGGUCUUGUCUCCUUUCUGUGUCUUAUAUACAAAGCAACUUUCUACUUCAAUAUAUCUUCUGCUUAUCUAUGACAUAGUCCAAGAAACUUACAUUAUCUGUUCUAAUUCACUAUUCCUUAGAGGACCCUCUCCAGAAGACACAAUCUGAUAAUACAUCAGCCAAGCUUUAUAUCUCCUCGCCAUCUUUACCAUCAU